GAUGAACGCUGACAGAAUGCUUAACACAUGCAAGUCGACUUGAAGCAACUUCGGUUGUGGAAAGUGGCGGACGGGUGAGUAACGCGUAAAGAACUUGCCCUUCGGUCUGGGACAACCAUUGGAAACGAUGGCUAAUACCGGAUAUUAUGGAACUCUCGCAUGGGAGGAUCAUGAAAGCUAUAUGCGCUGAAGGAGAGCUUUGCGUUCCAUUAGCUAGUUGGUGAGGUAACGGCUCACCAAGGCGACGAUGGAUAGCCGGCCUGAGAGGGUGAUCGGCCACAAGGGGACUGAGACACGGCCCUUACUCCUACGGGAGGCAGCAGUGGGGAAUAUUGGACAAUGGACCAAAAGUCUGAUCCAGCAAUUCUGUGUGCACGAUGAAGGUUUUCGGAUCGUAAAGUGCUUUCAGUUGGGAAGAAGAAAGUGACGGUACCAACAGAAGAAGCGACGGCUAAAUACGUGCCAGCAGCCGCGGUAAUACGUAUGUCGCAAGCGUUAUCCGGAUUUAUUGGGCGUAAAGCGCGUCUAGGCGGGUUCAUAAGUCUGAUGUUAAAAUGCGGGGCUCAACUCCGUAUUGCGUUGGAAACUGUGAACCUAGAGUAUCAGAGAGGUGGGCGGAACUACAAGUGUAGAGGUGAAAUUCGUAGAUAUUUGUAGGAAUGCCGAUGGAGAAGUCAGCUCACUGGAUGAAUACUGACGCUAAAGCGCGAAAGCGUGGGUAGCAAACAGG
RNAcentral lists this ribosomal RNA (730 nucleotides) under uncultured bacterium. RNAcentral describes it as "bacterial SSU rRNA". It matches the Rfam family "Bacterial small subunit ribosomal RNA", at positions 28 to 776 of the family's 1533-position model. The record is from RNAcentral.